UGCUUUUGCUGGGACCAGGUCAGGAAUGCUCUUCAGAACUUCUGUUAAAUUAGGAUGCAGCUGAUUAGCCCUUGUGUGUUUCGUCUUUCCUCCUCCCCCAAUUUGGGAACGGGCAAGCUCUGUACCACACAUGUACAGGAAGAAGGCUACGGUGGGUUGACCUGUCCUGCACCUAUUGAAUGAAGAUAGGUGGCCCACUCCCUUGACGCUCAGCAACUUGGAAAUUCUGCUGUGUUGGUGGCGUUAGAGUGGUUGGUGGAAUGAAAUCUGAGAGCUAAGCAUGGAGAAUUAGGAUGUUGAGAG
This is a long non-coding RNA of Chelonia mydas (Green sea turtle), 303 nucleotides long. RefSeq lists it as uncharacterized. NCBI's taxonomy places the organism in Eukaryota, Metazoa, Chordata, Testudines, Cheloniidae. The record is from RefSeq and is a predicted model, not a curated record. The transcript has 4 exons.